Molecule: transfer RNA, 64 nt
Filed under: Takydromus sexlineatus (Asian grass lizard)
Lineage: Eukaryota; Metazoa; Chordata; Lepidosauria; Squamata; Lacertidae
Description: tRNA-Lys
Source: RNAcentral
CACUAAGAAGCUACCUCCAGCACUAGCCUUUUAAGCUAGAGAGGAAGACUACCUUCCUUAGUGA